GCCGCGGUGGCGGAACCUGGUAUACGCGCACGACUUAAAAUCGUGUCCCGCGAGGGGUGUGGGUUCGAUCCCCACCCGCGGCA
RNAcentral lists this transfer RNA (83 nucleotides) under bacterium. RNAcentral describes it as "tRNA-Leu". It matches the Rfam family "tRNA". Rfam says of the family: Transfer RNA (tRNA) molecules are approximately 80 nucleotides in length. Their secondary structure includes four short double-helical elements and three loops (D, anti-codon, and T loops). The record is from RNAcentral.